This 483-nucleotide ribosomal RNA is filed under the name uncultured bacterium. Its description in RNAcentral is "partial 16S ribosomal RNA". It matches the Rfam family "Bacterial small subunit ribosomal RNA", at positions 28 to 523 of the family's 1533-position model. The record is from RNAcentral.
GACGAACGCUGGCGGCGUGCUUAACACAUGCAAGUCGAACGGUGAAAGCGGAGCUUGCUCCGCUGGAUCAGUGGCGAACGGGUGAGUAACACGUGGGCAACCUGCCCCUGACUUCGGGAUAACUCCUCGAAAGAGGUGCUAAUACCGGAUACGAAUCCUGCAGGCAUCUGCGGGAUGGGAAAGUUUUUCGGUCAGGGAUUGGCCCGCGGCCUAUCAGCUUGUUGGUGAGGUAGUGGCUCACCAAGGAGCCGACGGGUAGCCGGCCUGCGAGGGCGACCGGCCACACUGGGACUGAGACACGGCCCAGACUCCUACGGGAGGCAGCAGUGGGGAAUAUUGCGCAAUGGUCGAAAGCCUGACGCAGCGACGCCGCGUGGGGGAUGACGGCCUUCGGGUUGUAAACCUCUUUCAGCAGGGAAGAAGCGAAAGUGACGGUACCUGCAGAAGAGGCACCGGCUAACUACGUGCCAGCCGCCGCGGUAA